RNAcentral lists this ribosomal RNA (292 nucleotides) under uncultured bacterium. RNAcentral's name for it is "partial 16S ribosomal RNA". It matches the Rfam family "Bacterial small subunit ribosomal RNA", at positions 505 to 796 of the family's 1533-position model. The record is from RNAcentral.
GUGUCAGCAGCCGCGGUAAUACGUAGGGACCGAGCGUUGUCCGGAUUUAUUGGGCGUAAAGAGCUCGUAGGCGGCCGUCCACGUCGGGUGUGAAAGCUCGGGGCUCAACCCUGAGAGGCCAUUCGAUACGGGACGGCUUGAGGCAGCUAGGGGAGAUUGGAAUUCCUGGUGUAGCGGUGAAAUGCGCAGAUAUCAGGAGGAACACCGGUGGCGAAGGCGGAUCUCUGGGGCUGUUCUGACGCUGAGGAGCGAAAGCUGGGGGAGCGAACAGGAUUAGAUACCCUCGUAGUCC